ACCCCUGUAGCCCAACGGAAGAGGCAGCGCGCUCAGAACGCGUACGGUGCAGGUUCGAAUCCUGCCAGGGGUA
RNAcentral lists this transfer RNA (73 nucleotides) under Kibdelosporangium aridum. It matches the Rfam family "tRNA". From Rfam's summary of the family: Transfer RNA (tRNA) molecules are approximately 80 nucleotides in length. Lineage: Bacteria; Bacillati; Actinomycetota; Actinomycetes; Pseudonocardiales; Pseudonocardiaceae. RNAcentral also lists the same sequence under 1 other name. The record is from Rfam by way of RNAcentral.